This 274-nucleotide ribosomal RNA is filed under the name uncultured bacterium. RNAcentral's name for it is "partial 16S ribosomal RNA". It matches the Rfam family "Bacterial small subunit ribosomal RNA", at positions 523 to 796 of the family's 1533-position model. The record is from RNAcentral.
AUACGUAGGGGGCGAGCGUUGUCCGGAAUUACUGGGCGUAAAGCGCGCGUAGGCGGUUUGUUAAGUGAGGUGUGAAAUCCCCGGGCUCAACCUGGGAAUUGCAUUUCAAACUGGCAGGCUAGAGUGUAGUAGAGGGAGGUGGAAUUUCCUGUGUAGCGGUGAAAUGCGUAGAUAUAGGAAGGAACACCAGUGGCGAAGGCGGCCUCCUGGACUAACACUGACGCUGAGGUGCGAAAGCGUGGGGAGCAAACAGGAUUAGAAACCCCAGUAGUCC